This 495-nucleotide ribosomal RNA is filed under the name uncultured bacterium. RNAcentral describes it as "partial 16S ribosomal RNA". It matches the Rfam family "Bacterial small subunit ribosomal RNA", at positions 28 to 507 of the family's 1533-position model. The record is from RNAcentral.
GAUGAACGCUGGCGGCGUGCCUAAUACAUGCAAGUCGAACGCUGAAGGAGGAGCUUGCUCUUCUGGAUGAGUUGCGAACGGGUGAGUAACGCGUAGGUAACCUGCCUGGUAGCGGGGGAUAACUAUUGGAAACGAUAGCUAAUACCGCAUGACAACAGUUAUUGCAUGAUAACUGUUUAAAAGGGGCAACUGCUCCACUACCAGAUGGACCUGCGUUGUAUUAGCUAGUUGGUGAGGUAACGGCUCACCAAGGCGACGAUACAUAGCCGACCUGAGAGGGUGAUCGGCCACACUGGGACUGAGACACGGCCCAGACUCCUACGGGAGGCAGCAGUAGGGAAUCUUCGGCAAUGGACGGAAGUCUGACCGAGCAACGCCGCGGGAGUGAAGAAGGGUUUCGGAUCGUAAAGCUCUGUUGUAAGAGAAGAACGAGUGUGAGAGUGGAAAGUUCACACUGUGACGGUAUCUUACCAGAAAGGGACGGCUAACUACGUG